GAUGAACGCUGGCGGCGUGCCUAAUACAUGCAAGUCGAGCGAACAGACGAGGAGCUUGCUCCUCUGACGUUAGCGGCGGACGGGUGAGUAACACGUGGAUAACCUACCUAUAAGACUGGGAUAACUUCGGGAAACCGGAGCUAAUACCGGAUAACAUGUUGAACCGCAUGGUUCAACAGUGAAAGACGGUUUUGCUGUCACUUAUAGAUGGAUCCGCGCCGCAUUAGCUAGUUGGUAAGGUAACGGCUUACCAAGGCAACGAUGCGUAGCCGACCUGAGAGGGUGAUCGGCCACACUGGAACUGAGACACGGUCCAGACUCCUACGGGAGGCAGCAGUAGGGAAUCUUCCGCAAUGGGCGAAAGCCUGACGGAGCAACGCCGUGUGAGUGAAGAAGGUCUUCGGAUCGUAAAACUCUGUUAUUAGGGAAGAACAAAUGUGUAAGUAACUAUGCACGUCUUGACGGUACCUAAUCAGAAAGCCACGGCUAACUACGUG
RNAcentral lists this ribosomal RNA (497 nucleotides) under uncultured bacterium. Its description in RNAcentral is "partial 16S ribosomal RNA". It matches the Rfam family "Bacterial small subunit ribosomal RNA", at positions 28 to 507 of the family's 1533-position model. The record is from RNAcentral.